Molecule: ribosomal RNA, 462 nt
Filed under: uncultured bacterium
Lineage: Bacteria
Description: partial 16S ribosomal RNA
Rfam family: Bacterial small subunit ribosomal RNA
Source: RNAcentral
GACGAACGCUGGCGGCGUGCUUAACACAUGCAAGUCGAGCGGAAAGGCCCUUCGGGGUACUCGAGCGGCGAACGGGUGAGUAACACGUGAGUAACCUGCCCUAGGCUUUGGGAUAACCCCGGGAAACCGGGGCUAAUACCGGAUAUGACCUGGUGCCGCAUGGUGUUGGGUGGAAAGUUUUUUCGGCCUGGGAUGGGCUCGCGGCCUAUCAGCUUGUUGGUGGGGUGAUGGCCUACCAAGGCGAUGACGGGUAGCCGGCCUGAGAGGGCGACCGGCCACACUGGGACUGAGACACGGCCCAGACUCCUACGGGAGGCAGCAGUGGGGAAUAUUGCACAAUGGACGGAAGCCUGAUGCAGCGACGCCGUGUGAGGGAUGAAGGCCUUCGGGUUGUAAACCUCUUUCAGCAGGGACGAAGCGUGAGUGACGGUACCUGCAGAAGAAGCGCCGGCCAACUACGUG